Molecule: non-coding RNA, 76 nt
Organism: Paramuricea clavata
Lineage: Eukaryota; Metazoa; Cnidaria; Anthozoa; Malacalcyonacea; Plexauridae
Source: the annotation of a GenBank genome assembly
GGCCUCGUAGCGCAGUUGGCAGAGCAUUGGACUAUGAGUAUCCCAAAGGUCGCGGGUUCGAUUCCCACCGUGGCCA